GGCGAAGCAGGUUGAUGGCGCAUUAUUGUUGAAUAAAAAAUGGUGGAAAACUUGAAGAACAUCAUAUGUAGGAUAUUUCACAUAUUCAACACGAAUUUAUUUUAUUCUUAAAAUUACGGAAUGCAGUGUAUUAAGUUUAAUGCUCACAGAUUUCUGUAAUAAGGACUCUGCUUCAGCAUUCAAUCAGCAAAAACCUGAAAUACGUGUUCAGUACCGAUAUAAUAAUGGAAUACAACGUAGACGGAACCCACGGAAAAAAGAGCCUCAAAACACAUAAAGUGAAUCUCUAAUGAGCUUUGUUAGCGCCGAUGAACCAGAAACACAAUUAAGAAGAGCACUCCAAUUAAAUAAGAAGCAGUUUUUUCAAAAAAGGGCAAUCGCGGGAAAAUCUUUGCAGCGACUGGGCACAUCAAAUUUAAAUCACUUGUUUAACUAGCUUUAUUAUGUUUUUAAAGUGAAUACCCAACGUUUGAUUUUUUUGUUAGUUUUUUUUUUUAAGAAUUUGUGUUAGUUGUAAUUAGAUAAGUUGACCAACUGUCCUCCUUUGAGGAGAAUUGUCCUACUCAAACGUGAUUUGUCCUCCCCAAAAAUAUUGUCCUUCGCUAUUCUUCUUUUGAGCAAAAAUGUCCUCCUUGUGCUCCUUCUCAGUUUUUAUAGCAAUGAUGAAAUUUUCAAAAAAUUUCGUUCGGAAUAUUAGUAUGUCCUAAUCAUACACAAUCAUUGUAUGUAAAAGGAGUUAAAUUUUUCAACUUUCAGUUAAAUGAUGUAAACUUUUGUUUCAACUGACCGCCUGUGAUAGUUGAGCAGUGUAAACGCCUUUUAGCCUUAAUCAAUAAUAUAUAAUACGGCUUUCCCACGGCACCCCAAUUACGUAGUUCGCUCUCUCAUUCGUAAUUCGCACUACAAUUACCCUUCGAAUUACGUAAUUCGCCAUA
This is a long non-coding RNA of Rhagoletis zephyria (snowberry fruit fly), 935 nucleotides long. RefSeq lists it as uncharacterized. Lineage: Eukaryota; Metazoa; Arthropoda; Insecta; Diptera; Tephritidae. The record is from RefSeq and is a predicted model, not a curated record.